This 314-nucleotide ribosomal RNA is filed under the name uncultured bacterium. RNAcentral's name for it is "partial 16S ribosomal RNA". It matches the Rfam family "Bacterial small subunit ribosomal RNA", at positions 499 to 807 of the family's 1533-position model. The record is from RNAcentral.
UUAUAAGAGACAGCAGUCGCCGCGGUAAUACGAAGGGUGCAAGCGUUAAUCGGAAUUACUGGGCGUAAAGCGUGCGUAGGCGGUUUGUUAAGUCUGUUGUGAAAUCCCCGGGCUCAACCUGGGAAUGGCAAUGGAUACUGGCAAGCUAGAGUGUGUCAGAGGAUGGUGGAAUUCCCGGUGUAGCGGUGAAAUGCGUAGAGAUCGGGAGGAACAUCAGUGGCGAAGGCGGCCAUCUGGGACAACACUGACGCUGAGGCACGAAAGCGUGGGGAGCAAACAGGAUUAGAUACCCCAGUAGUCCCUGUCUCUUAUAC